Molecule: small nuclear RNA, 102 nt
Organism: Ochotona princeps (American pika)
Lineage: Eukaryota; Metazoa; Chordata; Mammalia; Lagomorpha; Ochotonidae
Source: Ensembl
GUGUUGCACUCCCUUUGGCAGCACAUAUAUCAAGAUUGGAACAAUACAGAGAUUAGCAUGCCCCUGCCAAAGAUGACAUGUAAAAAGGAGUUUUUAUGUUGU